Molecule: long non-coding RNA, 297 nt
Filed under: Chrysolophus pictus (golden pheasant)
Lineage: Eukaryota; Metazoa; Chordata; Aves; Galliformes; Phasianidae
Description: lncRNA (ENSCPIG00010006096.1)
Source: RNAcentral
AGACAUAAGUGUGUGGCAGAAAGUGAGAAAGAAUUGCAAUUUCUCAGCUCUUUGGCAGUUACCUACAAGGUGCAGACGAGACAUGCGAGAGCCACUUUAUCCUACCUGGAACAUUGACUCCAAGACGCUUCCAUUUGCUUUUCAAUGGAGCUGAUUGCCAAAGACUUUUCUAAUGUGUCCCUGGAGAACCACCGAGCGAUACAGACAAUUCCAGCAUCUCACUUGUACCUCAGGAAGCAAAAAAGAGCUACAUUUAAGAUGGAAAAGAUAUUAAAACCUAGAAAGCUCUUCCACUGA